CUGUCUUCCCUCUCUAGACUAUAAACAUAUCUGUUUUGACUUUAUCGACGGAAAUGUGAUGGAAUCAUAGCGUUUGUAAUAAAUGUUCACCUGGGUUGUGUUCUCGAGGUUCGGCUUGCCCUCUAAUUCUGUGUAAUGCAAUUCAAGACCCCGUGAAAUGUUUGUGAACACUUUUUGUGUUGUGUAAAGUGGCGGUUGAUAAUAAUUUUUUUAAUGUUUAAGCUUGAUAAUAAACUUUUUAGGCUCAAUUUUGCUAAUAAUUUUUGUUAGGUUCAAUUAGUUCAGUUAUAAGUAAGCAUCUGAUACCCAAACUUUUUUGGGUGUAGCUAAGAAUUGCAACCUGUUCCAAGUCUAAUUAGGUCCUAAAUAAAUCUCUUGAACUUAUAUCAAUCACCGAGAAGAUCCCCACGCUUCCUUUAAAUUCAAAUAUUUAUUUAUUUAUUUAUUUAUUGUUUUCUUCCUGUUCAACGUUUCUGCCUGAAUAAUUUUUACCAUUUCUCUUGCAUGCAUCCUACGAUGGUUGCCGUUAUCUACUAUUAUUCUCAGCCUAUUGGUAUGAAAACGUGGAUCAGAGCGUUACUAUAUUGUGCUCUAGCGCCAACAGUUCUAGCCGGUCAGAUUAAUCCUGCUCUCUUUGAAGCUCUUUACGCAAGUCUCGUACUGUUUUUUUAGGAUUUAUCGCUUAAUCCAUGUUUUAAGCUUUCUCAAUUUCUUGUAAAUUGUUCUUUAGAUAUUUUUACUGUCUGUCACUAAUGUAUUUGUUCAUUCCUCGAAGAAGGUAAAUAAAUGAAGAAAAAUCAUGGACUUACCUUUACGUGUUGAAAAUUUUCUCCUGUAAUAGCUCUAUACUAAAAUCUUUGCCAAUUUGGAAACUUCCUUUCAGCCAUCUCAACAUGCAGUUUUUCUCUUCUCGAGGAUCCCUCAAAUAUGGAAGAACUUUUCUGUAAGUUUAUUUGAAGGUUCUAUUAUACGAUUUCAAAUUUUCAAUUAAAUUACCCUUUGGGAAGGAAGAAAAAAAAAAAAAAGACAGGAAAAAAUAUUAAAUGAUAUUGGACGAUCUGUACCAUUGUCAUAGUUUCUCCAAUUGCAUUUCAAAAGAUUAGGAAAGUGGUUCGAAACUGAACCUUGUAAUCACGAAACCAGCUGUUGUCAUGUUAACCAAUGACCGUUCAAGUGAGAGUUUACCUUUCCUUUUGAGCAUAGGUUUUUUGCCUUUUGGAUUAACCCAAUAGGCCUCGUACCAACAAAGCUAUCAUUCCUCACUUAUGUACUCAUGAUCUCUCCCUUAUCUAGCCAAUAUAGAAUUUUAGUUGCAUUCCCAACAUUUAUAAAUAAUCUUUUCUUUGGUUUGAUGAUAUCAUGUCUUAACCGUAUUUUGUUUUGUUUUGAUAUCUUCCAUGAAAGUACUCAUUCAAAAAAAAAAGUAAUCCUCUGUAAUGAACAAAAGUUCUGGGAGCUUAGCCUUUUAACAUCCAUGAUGAACUUUGGAGGUUCUAUGGUGAGGGUUUUCACCAGCAUACAAGAAAACGCACCAAGCAGUGGUAUCCUCUUUUUAAAAUUUAUUUUUAUUUUUUCCUUUCCGCACUUUUAUUAUUUGGGUAGUAGUUUCAGUGAUAACAUCUUAUAAGAAUUCAAGAAUCAGUCUCAUGCAUGAAGUUUUGGUCUUUUCUAGGUUCAGCCUUUGCUCGAACACUUUCUCCGAGUUUACUAACAAAUUCUCAUUUCUUUGUAGUCAUCGGUUAUACUACUUGAAAAAUAUAAACUUGAUGGAAAAAUUCAAACACUCCCUUUUUCUGUUUGUAAAAAUGCACUGCUGCAUCAGUCCUCUCUAGGUCUUUGAAAACCUACUCCCACAGGUUUUAUGAGUAACCUCUCGUUCUUUUUUGUUGUUAAUAUAAUCCAUUCAAGUUAUUUUCCUAGAUAUUUAUUCAUUUUGAUAAACCGUGGUCCUUAAAGCUUGUCAAAGUUCUCUUGGGAUCGGCAUUUUCCAUUGUGACACACAGUACCAUUUUGAGUCGGAUAAUUGUAUACCAGAAGAGGGAUGUAAAGAAAGAGAAGAAAACAGAGUAGAGGAUGACGACUUGCAGUUGUGACUUUGGCAUACUGAAGAUUAAAUAUUGUAUGUAGUGAGUAUAGGUGAACCAAUGUCAACCCUUUUCGAGAUUAUCAUUUUACUACUAGAAAUCCCUAGUUUUCCUUUCUUUUCUUUUGGAAUAUGACUUAUGAGGGCACAUUGAUAGCUGGAAUUAUUGUAGGUUUGGACUGUGAUCUCCACCGGAUUGCAGUCCCGCAUAACUUUAUAUAUGUGAUGUUUUUGUUGUACUGGUUCUGGAUUGUCAUGAUAAUUCUGAAGGGAAAGGAAUGGGUUGUCAACUCAUUUCUCA
Cucurbita maxima (winter squash) is the source of this 2384-nucleotide long non-coding RNA. RefSeq lists it as uncharacterized. The transcript is spliced from 3 exons. NCBI's taxonomy places the organism in Eukaryota, Viridiplantae, Streptophyta, Magnoliopsida, Cucurbitales, Cucurbitaceae. The record is from RefSeq and is a predicted model, not a curated record.